This 497-nucleotide ribosomal RNA is filed under the name uncultured bacterium. Its description in RNAcentral is "partial 16S ribosomal RNA". It matches the Rfam family "Bacterial small subunit ribosomal RNA", at positions 28 to 507 of the family's 1533-position model. The record is from RNAcentral.
GAUGAACGCUGGCGGCGUGCCUAAUACAUGCAAGUCGAGCGAACAGACGAGGAGCUUGCUCCUCUGACGUUAGCGGCGGACGGGUGAGUAACACGUGGAUAACCUACCUAUAAGACUGGGAUAACUUCGGGAAACCAGAGCUAAUACCGGAUAAUAUAUUGAACCGCAUGGUUCAAUAGUGAAAGACGGUUUUGCUGUCACUUAUAGAUGGAUCCGCGCCGCAUUAGCUAGUUGGUAAGGUAACGGCUUACCAAGGCGACGAUGCGUAGCCGACCUGAGAGGGUGAUCGGCCACACUGGAACUGAGACACGGUCCAGACUCCUACGGGAGGCAGCAGUAGGGAAUCUUCCGCAAUGGGCGAAAGCCUGACGGAGCAACGCCGCGUGAGUGAUGAAGGUCUUCGGAUCGUAAAACUCUGUUAUUAGGGAAGAACAAAUGUGUAAGUAACUAUGCACGUCUUGACGGUACCUAAUCAGAAAGCCACGGCUAACUACGUG